AUACAGUACUGCAGAGGAUCCUAA
Molecule: microRNA, 24 nt
Filed under: Triticum aestivum (bread wheat)
Lineage: Eukaryota; Viridiplantae; Streptophyta; Magnoliopsida; Poales; Poaceae
Description: tae-miR5084
Source: miRBase by way of RNAcentral